UUACAGGUGUGAGCCACUGCGCCCGACCGCUGCAGUUUAUAAGUUUUUUUUAAAAAAGUAUUAUCAGACAAUUCUGGGUGUGUGAUUCCAGGUUAGUAGGUUUGUUUUUUCCCCUCAUACUUUAAAGAUAUCAUUUCAUCAUCUCUGGCUUCCAUUGUUUCUAUUGAAAGAGAGAGUUCUCAGUUUAAUUGUUGCUACUUUGAAGAUAAAGUGUAUUAUUUUCCUCUGUCUUUAGUAUUUUCUUAUUACCUUUUUUUCUUUAGAAGUUUGACAGUAAGGGGUGUGUGUGUGUGUGUGUAUGUGUGUGUGUGUGUUUAAGAAAAAACUGAACUCCAGAUUGUAUUGGGAUUUUACCAGUUUUUGGAUUAAUGUUUCAGGAUACAAGCCAGUGUCUACUGCUUAUUUUUCAGGUUUACUCCAUCUCUUUUUGUUUCUCAGUCUUUCCUUAUUUUUUGUGACAGUAAGAGAGUACUGGUCAGGUUAUCUGGUCCCAUAGUCUGGGUUUAUAUGAUCUUUUUUACUCUUGAUUAGACUGGAGUUAUGGAAAGAACAUCAAAGGUAAAGUGCACUUCUCAUGUGAUUUUGUUUUUUUCUUGUGUGGAGAUUCCUGUGUCAAAAUUCCUGUGCAAAAUUUGCUGGGUUUAUUAAGUCUGUGGGUUGAUGUGCUUCAUCAGUGUUAGCCAAUUAUUGGCAGAAGGAAUAUUGUUCUUGUUCCAGGUUCCAUUCCUAGGAGGCAUCGCGUGUCUCUGCUUGCCUCUCAUGCUGGUCCAAUGUGUCUGAAAGACCAACGAAGCAGAUCUGCACCCAUCCUGCAGCUUGGAGCCAAGCCACUCUGAGCCCAGCCUAGAUCAGGUGGUCCCUAGAUGUCCUCCAGAUGCAUGAGCAAGAACAAAUGAUCGGAGACUUAGUUCCCUGAAUUGAAGCAUCCAGGGGAGCCUGCUGCAGCCUUCCAGCGUAAAGACUGGGGCCCAGGAACACACGAGUCCAGCUCUGGGUCCAAGCUCUGGCGGAGGAAGUAUCAGCAGCAGAUCCUGGAGGGGAAGGAGCCCCAGCACGGGUCUUACCUUGCUGUAAAUAAUCUGUAGUGUUAGAGGAACAGCCUCCCGGUCGCCAUCGAUGCCCAGCCGCUUGCUGCCAGGACCUGUGCCACACACAGACAGACCCUUCACUACCCCUGGCUUCCCCGGCUCCUCACGAACGCAGUGGCCUUGCCUCCCUGGGCCUUACCUCCCCAUCCCCUACCACAUGGACCGUGACUCCCUAGGGAUCUGUCUCACCAAGGCCCUGCCUCUCUCUCUGGCUCCACGUUCUGGGGAUCUCCACCUCCUCAGUGACCCCAUCACUCCAGGGCCCAUCUCCGCUGUGAUCACACAUUCCCAGGGUCCUGCCUCUCCAGGGCCCCAUCUCCGCUGUGAUCACACCUUCCCAGGGUCCUGCCUCUCCAGGGCCCCAUCUCCGCUGUGAUCACACCUUCCCAGGGUCCUGCCUCUCCAGGGCCCCACCUCCUGGGUAACCCUGCCUCCCCAGGGCCCACCUGCUGGGCAGUACCCACCUGACGCCUUGAUGGCACGUGUGGCAGCGGAGUGACCCAGCUCCAAGGAGUGGAUGAAGAUCUCUG
Homo sapiens (human) is the source of this 1618-nucleotide long non-coding RNA. RefSeq lists it as uncharacterized. The record is from RefSeq and is a predicted model, not a curated record. NCBI's taxonomy places the organism in Eukaryota, Metazoa, Chordata, Mammalia, Primates, Hominidae. The transcript is spliced from 3 exons.